GAUGAACGCUAGCGACAGGCUUAACACAUGCAAGUCGAGGGGCAGCAUAAAAGUAGCAAUACUUUGGUGGCGACCGGCGCACGGGUGAGUAACGCGUAUGCAACCUACCUAUCAGAGGGGAAUAACCCGGCGAAAGUCGGACUAAUACCGCAUAAAACAGGGGCACCGCAUGGUGAUAUUUGUUAAAGAAAUUCGCUGAUAGAUGGGCAUGCGUUCCAUUAGGUAGUUGGUGAGGUAACGGCUCACCAAGCCGACGAUGGAUAGGGGAACUGAGAGGUUGGUCCCCCANACUGGUACUGAGACACGGACCAGACUCCUACGGGAGGCAGCAGUGAGGAAUAUUGGUCAAUGGGCGAGAGCCUGAACCAGCCAAGUCGCGUGAAGGAAGAAGGAUCUAUGGUUCGUAAACUUCUUUUGCAGGGGAAUAAAGUGCGGGACGUGUCCUGUUUUGUAUGUACCCUGAGAAUAAGGAUCGGCUAACUCCGUGCCAGCAGCCGCGG
This 500-nucleotide ribosomal RNA is filed under the name uncultured bacterium. RNAcentral describes it as "bacterial SSU rRNA". It matches the Rfam family "Bacterial small subunit ribosomal RNA", at positions 28 to 520 of the family's 1533-position model. The record is from RNAcentral.